RNAcentral lists this ribosomal RNA (405 nucleotides) under uncultured bacterium. RNAcentral describes it as "partial 16S ribosomal RNA". It matches the Rfam family "Bacterial small subunit ribosomal RNA", at positions 30 to 525 of the family's 1533-position model. The record is from RNAcentral.
AUUGAACGCUGGCGGCAGGCCUAACACAUGCAAGUCGAACGAGUGGCGGACGGGUGAGUAAUUUCUGGGAAACUGCCCGAUGGAGGGGGAUAACUACUGGAAACGGUAGCUAAUACCGCAUACCAUCGGAUGUGCCCAGAUGGGAUUAGCUAGUAGGUGGGGUAACGGCUCACCUAGGCGACGAUCCCUAGCUGGUCUGAGAGGAUGACCACCCACACGGGAACGGGAACACGUUCCAGACUCCUACGGGGGGCAGCAGGGGGGAGUAUGGAACAAUGGGGGCAACCCUGAUGCAGCCAUGCGGCGUGUAUGAAGAGGGCCUUCGGGUUGUAAAGUACUUUCAGCGAGGAGGCUUUACUCGCAGAGGAAGCACCGGCUAACUCCUUGCCAGCAGCGGCGGUAAUU